This 250-nucleotide ribosomal RNA is filed under the name uncultured bacterium. RNAcentral's name for it is "partial 16S ribosomal RNA". It matches the Rfam family "Bacterial small subunit ribosomal RNA", at positions 355 to 622 of the family's 1533-position model. The record is from RNAcentral.
GAAGGAAUAUUGGACAAUGGGCGAAAGCCUGAUCCAGCAAUACCGCGUGAAUGAUGAAGGCCUUAGGGUUGUAAAGUUCUUUUAGUAGGGAAGAUAAUGACGGUACCUACAGAAAAAGCCCCGGCUAACUCCGUGCCAGCAGCCGCGGUAAGACGGAGGGGGCUAGCGUUGUUCGGAAUUACUGGGCGUAAAGGGCGCGUAGGCGGAUUAGUAAGUUGGAAGUGAAAUCCCGGGGCUUAACCUCGGAAUU